GUCGGAGUUGCGCGGGUUGUAGUCGACGAAGGCGUGGCCCCGCGACUGGUCGAUGGUGUGGAACAGCGGGUUCCAGCUGAACAUCGCCAGCAUGUGCGGGGGCAGCGAGUUGGCCACGAACAUCUUGCCCGAGGCGAUCAUGUUGGCCCGCUG
This 153-nucleotide non-coding RNA is filed under the name Salipiger profundus. RNAcentral's name for it is "Thiobacimonas profunda Ruegeria cis2 sRNA". It matches the Rfam family "Ruegeria cis2 sRNA". Rfam says of the family: Cis-encoded. Targets ABC transporter. The record is from Rfam by way of RNAcentral. Lineage: Bacteria; Pseudomonadati; Pseudomonadota; Alphaproteobacteria; Rhodobacterales; Roseobacteraceae.